CGCAAGCCUGACGGAGCCAGACCGCGUGGGGGAGGAAGGCCCUUGGGUUGUAAACCCCUUUUCUCAGGGAAGAAACCUGACGGUACCUGAGGAAAAAGCCUCGGCUAACUCCGUGCCAGCAGCCGCGGUAAUACGGAGGAGGCAAGCGUUAUCCGGAAUUACUGGGCGUAAAGCGUCCGUAGGGGGCUCGUCAAGUCUGCUGUCAAAGGUCGGAGCUUAACUCCGGUAGAGCAGUGGAAACUGGUGCGCUAGAGGGCGACAGGGGUAGAGGGAAUUCCCAGUGUAGCGGUGAAAUGCGUAGAGAUUGGGAAGAACACCGGUGGCGAAAGCGCUCUACUGGGUCGUACCUGACCCUCAGGGACGAAAGCUAAGGGAGCG
Molecule: ribosomal RNA, 378 nt
Filed under: uncultured cyanobacterium
Lineage: Bacteria; Bacillati; Cyanobacteriota
Description: bacterial SSU rRNA
Rfam family: Bacterial small subunit ribosomal RNA
Source: RNAcentral